RNAcentral lists this ribosomal RNA (206 nucleotides) under uncultured bacterium. Its description in RNAcentral is "partial 16S ribosomal RNA". It matches the Rfam family "Bacterial small subunit ribosomal RNA", at positions 568 to 774 of the family's 1533-position model. The record is from RNAcentral.
CGUGUAGGCGGCCAAGCAGGUCCGUUGUGAAAACUGGAGGCUUAACCUCCAGACGUCGACGGAAACCGCGCGGCUAGAGUCCGGAAGAGGAGAGUGGAAUUCCUGGUGUAGCGGUGAAAUGCGCAGAUAUCAGGAAGAACACCAAUGGCGAAGGCAGCUCUCUGGGACGGUACUGACGCUGAGACGCGAAAGCGUGGGAGCGAACA